Molecule: long non-coding RNA, 2711 nt
Organism: Ipomoea nil (Japanese morning glory)
Lineage: Eukaryota; Viridiplantae; Streptophyta; Magnoliopsida; Solanales; Convolvulaceae
Exons: 4
Source: RefSeq, a predicted model, not a curated record
AUGUGGAUAGAAUGGAUUAUAAAGAUCCAUUCAAGCCAAAUAAUGAUUUGCAUAGCAAGAUACAUUGUUUAAAAUCCUAACACACUAAUGUAUGUAAUUUCAAAAUCUUCUUUUUUGGCUAUUGUUGGUGUACAUUCUGACAGCAUUUCUUGACUGCAUAUUACUUGACACUUACCUUCUCUGGGAAGAUAAUAAUAUCAUUCAUGAGAGCAUCUAACAUUCUCAUUACAGGUUCAUGGCAUAUGAUGAAAAUAUAAUUCUGAUGCCCAAGAUUUUUCUUUUUCUUUUACCAACUUUGUCUGAAUAUUUUUUCUGUCUAAAGUGCAUCAAAAUGUUUUAGCCAAGGUUUUAUUUCUUGACAUUUUUAUAACAUUUUGUGAAAAAAAUUGUUGAUCAAUUUUUGAGCAGAACAUUUUGAAAAUCAUUGACAUCCAACUUAGGACCUCUAAUUCUGGAGGACUAUUAAAACCAACCUAGAGUAAAGUUUGCUAUAUUACAAAGUUACUUUUUGGAAAGAAAUACUAAACUACAUCCCAACUCAAACAAUAGAUAAUCUUCAUUCUUGAUCCAUGUUUGCUGGUUCUCUCCACUUCAUUCUUCAUGUGUUCAUGUUUUGCUGUUCCUAACUUCUUACACACUGCAUCCUGCAUCUAUUGUAAGUGAUAGAAAAGAACAGCAUAAUACAAACACUUAGGGCACUAAUCAAUUAACAAAUUAAGUCUACAUGAAUAUAAUAUUAAGUGAAAGAAAGAAAAUGAGCAUUUUAGUUUCAAGCAAUUAACUGAUAUGAUCACAAAAACAGCAUCUGAAAAUUGAUAGCAUUGUUUAAAGUGCUACCAAUUGAAUAGUCCAAAAGGCAAUAAAAAAAAAAAAAAACUAAGAUAGUAAACUUUGUCUAUCACACACAAACCAAGCUCAAUUUUUUUCUACUUUCACAUGGACAUUUUUAGAUUUCUUAAGAUUCUUUGAUGAAGAGAACUGGUCCAGCAGGCAUCUUUUCACAUUUUCAGACUCUUCAGUUGACUUAAUCUUGUUAGUUGCUGUGAUUGGACUAUCUACCCCGUCACCUUGGGAGCCUUCCUAAAACCAUAGCUAUUUAGAGCAGUCAACUUUCAUAUACUGUUUUAAAAGAUGUUUUGUAUAUGCUACAAUAAAAGUAGCACAUCCAAGUUUAGUUACCUUUGCAGAAUCUUCAGUUCCUUCAUCAUCUUCUUCAAUCAUCCUAGAUAUAAGAUCCUUGUCUUGGUUAUCAUUGAGGUUUGAACAGUAGGCAGAUAUCAAGGUUACAGAUUUAAAGAUUCAAAACAGAUUAGUAACAGAAAACAGGUUAGUGCACAUCAGAUCAAUUCUUUGGCAUAUAUAAAAAAAAUAAAUAGAUAAUUAAACAAAUUAGUAACUAAAAUAAAUAAGUAAACAGAUUAAUACAAAAAGAAAAUUAGAAAAUAUUAGAAUAAGAAAACAUUAUUCUAUUAUGUCACUGCAAAUCUCCUAUGAAGUUCAACUGUUUCUCUUUGUUCUUUUCCUUUGAAUAAAAUAUUUGGCUUUGCAGUAUAUGUGUUCUCAUAGAAAGUGUUGAUUGUUUUGAUAAGCAUAAAUUCAUAAUGGAGCAAAAAAUGAACAGCAUUCAUACAUUUUUCUCAGUACUUCUUUUCAGGCCAGACAAAAUAAGUUUUUUUUUGUGUUUUACUACCUGUGUCCUGAGAGUACUUUUUUUUCAGGCCAGACAAAAUAAGUUUUUUGUGUUUUACUACCUGUGUCCUGAGAUUGUUGUUUCCUAUCAUAUUUACUAACCAAGCAUGCUCAUAAUAGAGUUGAACUAUAUAGAAAUCACAAUGAGAAAUUCCUAAUGUCCUGAGAUUGUUGUUUCCUUUUUCUGCCUUAUUAUUUAUUUCAUAUAAAGUUGCAAUGUACCAAUUAUUACAAUGUGCAUAUUAAGGUAGAUUAAUUUUAGAUUUAAAUUCUUUAUUGUAGGUUGAUUUCCAGAAGUCAAUACAGAUUAAAGAUAUAAUAACAUUUGAAAUAAAUGUGAUAAAGCUUACAUCAUAGAUACACCGCAACCAGGAAAGCUUACUUCGCUCCUUUGGUAUACAUCUGAAAUGGUCAGAACAUUCAUUUGACCUGAGCUAAAAUCCUCAAGUGCACUGCCAUUGCUCAUACUUGUCACGGAGACAAUGCUACACAUUGGGGUCAGCUCUCCUUUAAGCCUACAUAGAAAUGUGUAUGCUAUCAUCAGUAGGACACUAAAGUAUAAGACUCUAGCUGCUGUACAACUUAAUAUCACCAGUUGAUAGGCAAACUAUCUAAUUUUCAACACAAUGAAGGAAUUUAAAUGAGAAGAUUCAAAUGAACUUAAGUUGUGCGUAGCAAGAAGUAGACAGAUGAUUGUUCAGCAAAUAAAAAUGCAUACAUCAACGCACCUUAACCUUCAAGUAACUGUGUUCUUCCUCCUCGUGAAUGCAUGCUUUCCCAACUUCCUCCUAAGCUCUUCCUCCUCAACUCCACCAUUAGAUUGAUUUGCUUGACAGAAACGUAUUGAGAAGACAAUAUGUCUUUGUACAGAGGUUUACUUCUUCGCAAUAAUCUGUGAUUGAAUUUUAACUGAUUCUACCUCUUUAUAUAGAGGUUGAAUUUAUUCAGGACUUUUACAGAACAACGAAGAGGUUUUUGAAACAAAAAGACCUUUCAAUAGGAUGUCUCCAAUUAGAUUUCAA